Molecule: RNase P RNA, 340 nt
Filed under: Candidatus Wolfebacteria bacterium CG_4_10_14_0_8_um_filter_37_11
Lineage: Bacteria; Candidatus Wolfeibacteriota
Also listed under: 1 other name
Description: RNase P RNA component class A
Rfam family: Bacterial RNase P class A
About the family: Ribonuclease P (RNase P) is a ubiquitous endoribonuclease, found in archaea, bacteria and eukarya as well as chloroplasts and mitochondria. Its best characterised activity is the generation of mature 5'-ends of tRNAs by cleaving the 5'-leader elements of precursor-tRNAs.
Source: RNAcentral
AUCGGUAAGGAAACGAUAGCUCCGAUGUAAAAGUCGGGGAGGAAGGUCCGGACGCUUAUAGAAGUAUCCGUUAACAACGGACCGCAGUAAUGCGAGAGGUGCGAGCAGUGACGCUCUGGUCCGAAAGGGUCGGAGAAGCCUAAUCCCAAGCUAAAUGGCUUAAUCCUGUUAUAGGGACAAAAAGACAGGAAUGAAACGGCUAAAUCCUUACUAAGCGCAAGGCCGAACUGAGUAUCUAACGCUUUGAAUACUUGGAGUGCCGCUAGAGUUCGCGAGUAAUCAAGGACCCAGAUAAAUUAUCGUUUAGACACAAAAUCCGGCCUAUCACUUACCGAUAAAA